Strigops habroptila (Kakapo) is the source of this 1340-nucleotide long non-coding RNA. RefSeq lists it as uncharacterized. The transcript is spliced from 3 exons. NCBI's taxonomy places the organism in Eukaryota, Metazoa, Chordata, Aves, Psittaciformes, Psittacidae. The record is from RefSeq and is a predicted model, not a curated record.
GCUGGUGCUCAGCUCGUCCCUGAGCGGGUCCAUGUGGAACUGAAUCAACUGAUUUUGGGGCUCUGAGCAAAUUAGCUGUGACUCUACAACUACCUUCUCCCUAAGGACCCUGCCCACAGCCUGGGGAGACUCCUGGGCUGCAGGAGAGCCUUUGGGACAGCCUGGAGCUGACUUCCAGCAUGUAGCAAUGAUGCUACCUUGCUCCAGGGAUCACUGGCAAUGCCCUAAUUUUGCAGAUGGGGAAACUGAGGCACGCAGGAUGCAGAGUAGCACCCAGGAACUUCUCACAGAGCAAGGGGCUGAGAAACAAGGAGCAAAGCCUGCCCAGAAGCAUCCCAGGGAUGCACAGGGAGCACGGUAAACUGCAGCUGAUGGGAGAGUCAACGCCUGUGCUAUUCCCAUCUUCAACCCAGAGCACUUGGGGAGAUUCAGCAGCUUCCCCCCUUUAUGGUGACUGAACCCCAGAGCACUUGGUAACCUCAGAUCUAAUCACCUGGAGACCUGCAGGGACAUGCAGAAAGUGCUUCUGUAUUUAAAUAGCAAUGACAUUAAUCUCGGGGGUUGUUAAUCACAUGCUUAUUGGACUUGCUUUGUGCACUAAUACCAUGUUAUGCUGCUUCUAAAAUGAAGCCACCCAGAAAUCCAUGUUAGGAACAAAAUUGCUCCUGUUCAGGUGAAUGUCAUGCUAAAACAUUUAAAUUAGUCUCUGUCUGUGCUUCAUGUGGUGGGUUUGGGGAAACCAGCCGAGUGUGCUUUGAGGUAUAAAUGAGGACAGAACCAUAGGGUUGGGUCAGCAUCUACUCCAAGGCAGGGGCAGCCCAACUCAUUCCUAACCCCUGCACAUGGACCCAGUCACAUUUGCCCCUGGUGUUUUCCUGCUGUAUCUCUUUUUGACAGGACUGAUGAUACUGAAAAUUGCUGAAAGCUUCAAUGAAAAGCACUUUAGGCACUCUCAACUCAAUCUCAUUUCCAGUCCAACCCUACACCACCUUGCCCAUCCCAGAUUAAAAUAAAGGCACAAGUUGCCUGAAAGCCCAUCACAGGCACAGCCCUGCCCAGUGCACAGAUGCUUUGAGAACCCAAGGACAAAACGUUUGCUAAAUGGCUUGAAAAUAACACAAAGAGUGAUGGAAAAGGCAGUGGGAACUGGGGACAGUGUCCAGGCAGAGUGCAAAGGAUGGAUGGAUUCUCUGGUGCCUCCUUGAUGAAUGGUUGCAUGGGUAUGGCUCCAGAUGGGGACACAAGUGCUGCGGCUGCAGAGCUCAGAUCUGUAUCUCCAUCCUCAGUUAUCACCCUGGAUUCUAACACUUUGACAUUAUCAAAAUGAAAGAGUUUUCCUU